Molecule: ribosomal RNA, 496 nt
Filed under: uncultured bacterium
Lineage: Bacteria
Description: partial 16S ribosomal RNA
Rfam family: Bacterial small subunit ribosomal RNA
Source: RNAcentral
AUGAACGCUGGCGGCGUGCCUAAUCCCUGCAAGUCGCGCGAACAGACGAGGAGCUUGCUCCUCUGACGUUAGCGGCGGACGGGUGAGUAACACGUGGAUAACCUACCUAUAAGACUGGGAUAACUUCGGGAAACCGGAGCUAAUACCGGAUAAUAUAUUUAACCGCAUGGUUCAAUAGUGAAAGACGGUUUUGCUGUCACUUAUAGAUGGAUCCGCGCCGCAUUAGCUAGUUGGUAAGGUAACGGCUUACCAAGGCAACGAUGCGUAGCCGACCUGAGAGGGUGAUCGGCCACACUGGAACUGAGACACGGUCCAGACUCCUACGGGAGGCAGCAGUAGGGAAUCUUCCGCAAUGGGCGAAAGCUUGACGGAGCAACGCCGCGUGAGUGAUGAAGGUCUUCGGAUCGUAAAACUCUGUUAUUAGGGAAGAACAAAUGUGUAAGUAACUAUGCACGUCUUGACGGUACCUAAUCAGAAAGCCACGGCUAACUACGUG